UACGUAGGUGGCGAGCGUUGUCCGGAAUUAUUGGGCGUAAAGCGCGCGCAGGCGGGAUAUUAAGUCUGCUCUAAAAGUGCGGGGCUUAACCCCGUAAAGGGGUGGAAACUAAUAUUCUUGAGUGCCGGAGAGGAAAGCGGAAUUCCCAGUGUAGCGGUGAAAUGCGUAGAUAUUGGGAGGAACACCAGUGGCGAAGGCGGCUUUCUGGACGGUGUCUGACGCUGAGGCGCGAAAGCCAGGGGAGCGAACGGG
This 252-nucleotide ribosomal RNA is filed under the name uncultured bacterium. Its description in RNAcentral is "partial 16S ribosomal RNA". It matches the Rfam family "Bacterial small subunit ribosomal RNA", at positions 524 to 776 of the family's 1533-position model. The record is from RNAcentral.